This 409-nucleotide ribosomal RNA is filed under the name uncultured bacterium. RNAcentral's name for it is "bacterial SSU rRNA". It matches the Rfam family "Bacterial small subunit ribosomal RNA", at positions 355 to 776 of the family's 1533-position model. The record is from RNAcentral.
UGGGGAAUAUUGGGCAAUGGAGGGAACUCUGACCCAGCGACGCCGCGUGCGGGAUGAAGGCCUUCGGGUUGUAAACCGCUUUCAGCAGGGAAGAAGCGAAAGUGACGGUACCUGCAGAAGAAGCACCGGCUAACUAUGUGCCAGCAGCCGCGGUAAUACGGAGGGUGCAAGCGUUGUUCGGAAUUACUGGGCGUAAAGAGCGCGUAGGCGGUUCUAUAAGUCAGACGUGAAAGCCCUGGGCUUAACCCAGGAUGUGCGUUUGAUACUGUAGAGCUAGAGGACCAGAGAGGUGAGUGGAAUUCCUAGUGUAGAGGUGAAAUGCGUAGAGAUGAGGAGGAACACCAGUGGCGAAGGCGGCCACCUGGACAGUAACUGACGCUGAGGCGCGAAAGUGUGGGUAGCAAACAGG